RNAcentral lists this long non-coding RNA (996 nucleotides) under Equus caballus (horse). RNAcentral's name for it is "lncRNA (ENSECAG00000058555.1)". Lineage: Eukaryota; Metazoa; Chordata; Mammalia; Perissodactyla; Equidae. The record is from RNAcentral.
GGCAUGGCUGUGCUUUCAGUAAAAGAGAAUUUUGUGUGACCUCUAUUAGGAAGGAGGAAGGUCAUACAUAAGCAAACUAUUCAAAAGCUUAUUAUAAUCAUCAUUUCUCUAAAUAGGACUGAUACAAUGGAUUUCAGUUCUUGAAGACCCUGUUUUAAUGUACAUUGGCUGAUAUUAACUGUUUAAACUGGAGGGAACUUUCAAAGGGUUCCAUUUGGCAAACCAAAUUGUAACUGCCAAAGAUAAUUUAAUUUUAAUUUAUGACUCAUCUGGUCUUAGCAUCCACGUCCACUAUGGGAUACUUCAGGGCAAUGAGUGCUAUGACUAUGGGGAAUUUAGGCAAGACAAUAGUUAAGGAUUUUCUUGAUGGUUGAAGGAACUAAGCCUAAAACACAACACACUUCCUCCUGAAGCUUACUUGCCUGGAGUUUUUUCCAUUUUAAGGAUAAUGCUGGCUUCAUAGAACCGGUUUAGAAAGUAUUCCAUCUGCUUCUAUCUUCAGGAUGAGAUUGUGGAGGAUUGGCAUCAUUUCUUCAUUAAAUGUUUGACAGAAUUUGAAAGUGAAAUCACCUGGGCCUAUUGCUUUCUAUUUUGAAAGAAAAACUAAUGUCCAAAGAAUAUCAAGAAAUGGAAGCCUCCCAGGCCUAACUCCUAGGCUUCCUGAUGUCAGUCUACCUUCCACCAUGGAGAUAAACAGCCAAGGACACUCAUCUGAGAAAUGCUUUGUCUCCUCUACUGGAAGCAGCCCCAGACACAGGCCGACGGGCAAAUGCUGACCAAGAAAUCCAUGGUCCACCUCCCCUACCUAAAAUCCCAAAUAAAAACCUCUAUCUGUUUCUUAAUGAAAAGCAAGCAACUUUUGAGGCACUGGCCCUUUGCUUUGCUCCCUCUGCCUGGGAAAGUAAAGCUUUCCUUUUUCUCCCAAGACUCUGUUCUUAUUAUGCCGAUUGGCAUCUGGAUCAAAGGCCAAACUUUCAGUAACAGUAAUAUUUGUAG